UAGCUGAAAGAACUGCUGACAAAGCAUC
RNAcentral lists this non-coding RNA (28 nucleotides) under Homo sapiens (human). Lineage: Eukaryota; Metazoa; Chordata; Mammalia; Primates; Hominidae. The record is from RNAcentral.